CGAGCGAACUGAUUAGAAGCUUGCUUCUAUGACGUUAGCGGCGGACGGGUGAGUAACACGUGGGCAACCUGCCUGUAAGACUGGGAUAACUUCGGGAAACCGAAGCUAAUACCGGAUAGGAUCUUCUCCUUCAUGGGAGAUGAUUGAAAGAUGGUUUCGGCUAUCACUUACAGAUGGGCCCGCGGUGCAUUAGCUAGUUGGUGAGGUAACGGCUCACCAAGGCAACGAUGCAUAGCCGACCUGAGAGGGUGAUCGGCCACACUGGGACUGAGACACGGCCCAGACUCCUACGGGAGGCAGCAGUAGGGAAUCUUCCGCAAUGGACGAAAGUCUGACGGAGCAACGCCGCGUGAGUGAUGAAGGCUUUCGGGUCGUAAAACUCUGUUGUUAGGGAAGAACAAGUACAAGAGUAACUGCUCGUACCUUGACGGUACCUAACCAGAAAGCCACGGCUAACUACGUGCCAGCACCGCCCGGUAAUA
This 482-nucleotide ribosomal RNA is filed under the name Priestia megaterium. RNAcentral's name for it is "bacterial SSU rRNA". It matches the Rfam family "Bacterial small subunit ribosomal RNA", at positions 63 to 525 of the family's 1533-position model. The record is from RNAcentral. Lineage: Bacteria; Bacillati; Bacillota; Bacilli; Caryophanales; Bacillaceae.